RNAcentral lists this ribosomal RNA (82 nucleotides) under Pseudotamlana haliotis. Lineage: Bacteria; Pseudomonadati; Bacteroidota; Flavobacteriia; Flavobacteriales; Flavobacteriaceae. The record is from RNAcentral.
UAAGGUGAUUAUAGCGAUGGGGCUCACCUCUUACCUUUCCGAACAGAGAAGUUAAGCCCAUUAGCGCCGAUGGUACUACAUU